ACCAAUUCUGUUGGAUAAAAACAGUUUCUUCAGGUAUAAUGGCUUGUGACGCUAUAUUGAUUAGUUGUGGUAUAUCCUGAUCAUCUUGCUUUAUUCUCUUCCUUUUGAUCCUGGAAAUGCCUCGCAUAUUC
Non-coding RNA from Arabis alpina (gray rockcress), 131 nucleotides. The record is from Rfam. NCBI's taxonomy places the organism in Eukaryota, Viridiplantae, Streptophyta, Magnoliopsida, Brassicales, Brassicaceae.